AGGAACCACACACAGCUUCAGAGAUCUGUUGAAAAUCUGGGUGAAGAUGGGGGCCAGCUGGUCAGCACAGGCUCUCAGACAUGAAGGGAGAGACACCAUCAGGUCCUGGACCCUUCUU
Molecule: long non-coding RNA, 118 nt
Organism: Thalassophryne amazonica
Lineage: Eukaryota; Metazoa; Chordata; Actinopteri; Batrachoidiformes; Batrachoididae
Exons: 3
Source: RefSeq, a predicted model, not a curated record